Molecule: long non-coding RNA, 313 nt
Organism: Eurytemora carolleeae
Lineage: Eukaryota; Metazoa; Arthropoda; Copepoda; Calanoida; Temoridae
Exons: 3
Source: RefSeq, a predicted model, not a curated record
AAGGAAAGCUCAAGGUUCAGCUACCUGUCUUGAUGUAUAUAUUGGGAUUGACACCCAUGUUAAUUCUGGAAAUCAACAGCUGAUUAAAAAUAAUGAAAAUGAAAUAGAAAAUCUUAAUGUUUCAUUAGGUUUCACAAAAUGUUUGAUUAUUUUUUCUGAUGAGUUAACUAAAGUAGAUGCAGUCUUGCAGCUUGGUUAUUCUCCUUCACUUGUUAUUAUUAUACAAGAUGGAACCAAACCAAAACACCCCCAAGGAACACAUUUUAAACAUUCAACUUUUUAGAUUUUAUGUACAAUUGUUAUUUCUAAUAGA